This 467-nucleotide ribosomal RNA is filed under the name uncultured bacterium. Its description in RNAcentral is "partial 16S ribosomal RNA". It matches the Rfam family "Bacterial small subunit ribosomal RNA", at positions 28 to 506 of the family's 1533-position model. The record is from RNAcentral.
GACGAACGCUGGCGGCGUGCUUAACACAUGCAAGUCGAACGGAAAGGCCCUGCUUUUGUGGGGUGCUCGAGUGGCGAACGGGUGAGUAACACGUGAGUAACCUGCCCUUGACUUUGGGAUAACUUCAGGAAACUGGGGCUAAUACCGGAUAGGAGCUCCUGCUGCAUGGUGGGGGUUGGAAAGUUUCGGCGGUUGGGGAUGGACUCGCGGCUUAUCAGCUUGUUGGUGGGGUAGUGGCUUACCAAGGCUUUGACGGGUAGCCGGCCUGAGAGGGUGACCGGCCACAUUGGGACUGAGAUACGGCCCAGACUCCUACGGGAGGCAAGAGUGGGGAAUAUUGCACAAUGGGCGGAAGCCUGAUGCAGCAACGCCGCGUGCGGGAUGACGGCCUUCGGGAUGUAAACCGCUUUCGCCUGUGACGAAGCGUGAGUGACGGUAAUGGGUAAAGAAGCACCGGCUAACUACGU